GAGACCCGUACCCACAGUUGCCAGCGGCUGCUCCGGCAGGCUGGGUACACUAUGGGGACCGCCUCUGCUAAAGAGGAGGAAGGAGCGGGCGACGGUAGGUCAGUAUGCCCCGAAUUCUCCGGGCUACACGCGGGCUACAAUGGAUGGGACAAUGGGCUCCGACACCGAAAGGUGAAGGCAAUCUCUUAAACCCAUUUUUAGUUCGGAUUGAGGGCUGAAACUCGCCCUCAUGAAGCUGGAAUCCGUAGUAAUCGCGUUUCAACAUAGCGCGGUGAAUAC
Molecule: ribosomal RNA, 279 nt
Filed under: uncultured archaeon
Lineage: Archaea
Description: partial 16S rRNA
Rfam family: Archaeal small subunit ribosomal RNA
Source: RNAcentral